Molecule: long non-coding RNA, 855 nt
Organism: Ornithodoros turicata
Lineage: Eukaryota; Metazoa; Arthropoda; Arachnida; Ixodida; Argasidae
Exons: 5
Source: RefSeq, a predicted model, not a curated record
CGCACGCCUUUUUCUGGCUCCCGUUGUCUCGCGUUCCGUCGUUGCUCUGGUGCCCUGGACUGCUGUGAAUGUGUUUUUAUGCCCUACUAGUGUUGCCUGGGGGUGCUUUUAUGUGUGCACCCUGGAAGAUAGGUCCAGAAGCCUUGCGAUUUCUUAGAUUAAAGCUAAGUGUACUCGUGACCCUACCAGCACUUUUCAAGAUACUUUCGACGUAUUCAUUGCGGUGAACAACGCGCUUGGGACAGCACACUCACGACGUGGGAAGGUCACAGAAAUGUUGAAAGACAUCAGAUUGGGCAUACGCUUCACCCGUGCAACUUCGUCAUGUGCUCCACGGCAGCACAAGCCUUUACGGCUGUGCCACUGUAUGUAAAAAAUGCUGAGUGAUUUUAAUAAAGAAUUUGCAGGGAAGUACAAUGUGUCGCACCUUGUUGACUCUUUUACAGAUGUGUGGAAACGUCGUAGCGGAUGAAUGUGAAUUAUGGAUCUCCAAGUGGCGUCCCCCGCGUCAUUUUCAAGAUUGUACCCGUUUUGAAGGUACGUAGUGAAUGUGCGAGGCAUUCACGUUCCUACUACGUGGUUAUCCAUGCGUUUCCCGUCUUCGCAGGCAAUAGGGCUGUUGAUAGGGAGAAUGCUAGGCUACUGCAGACUGCAACCAUAGGCGCUGUGUCUAAAGGUUAAGCUCACAUGACGCGGCAGGGAAGGGAGUCCGUGGCGAAAAGUGAAUAUAGCCGAAGUUGGAUAGCGUUAAUUUUUGCGCACGAAAGGCAAGCUGGACACAUCGCAAACCUCCAGUUGUACGAAACACAGUGCAGCAUGGUCGUCGGUUAUGCCAGUGCUUCAACAUAUGUUUCA